This 446-nucleotide ribosomal RNA is filed under the name Bubas bison. RNAcentral's name for it is "partial 16S ribosomal RNA". Lineage: Eukaryota; Metazoa; Arthropoda; Insecta; Coleoptera; Scarabaeidae. The record is from RNAcentral.
CAUGUCUUUUUGAUUAUAAUUUAAAGUCUAACCUGCCCUAUGAUUUAUUAUUAAAUGGCCGCGAUAUCUUGAUCGUGCAAAGGUAGCAUAAUAAUUAGUUUUUUAAUUGAGAACUGGUAUGAAUGGUUGGACGAGGAAAAGGCUGUCUCAAUUUAAUUUUAAUUAGAAUUUUAUAUUUAAGUUAAAAAGCUUAAAUAUGUUUAAAAGACGAGAAGACCCUAUAGAGUUUUAUAUAAAAUAAAUUUUUAAUAUAGAAGUAUUUAAAAUUUAUUAAUUUAUUUUGUAUUUAGUUGGGGUGACUAAAAAAUUUAAUUAACUUUUUUUAUUUAAUUUAACAUUGAUUUAUGAAUAAGUGAUCCAUAUAUUAUGAUUAAAAGAUUAAAUUACCUUAGGGAUAACAGCGUUAUUUUUUUUGAGAGUUCUUAUCGAAAAAAAAGUUUGCGACC